This 893-nucleotide ribosomal RNA is filed under the name Houjia yanglingensis. RNAcentral describes it as "LSU rRNA". It matches the Rfam family "Eukaryotic large subunit ribosomal RNA", at positions 38 to 968 of the family's 3401-position model. Lineage: Eukaryota; Fungi; Ascomycota; Dothideomycetes; Mycosphaerellales; Phaeothecoidiellaceae. The record is from RNAcentral.
GCAUAUCAAUAAGCGGAGGAAAAGAAACCAACCGGGAUUGCCCUAGUAACGGCGAGUGAAGCGGCAACAGCUCAAAUUUGAAAUCGGCCCACCGGUCGAGUUGUAAUUUGCAGAGGAUGCUUCUGGGCAGCGGCCGGUCUAAGUUCCUUGGAACAGGACGUCGCAGAGGGUGAGAAUCCCGUAUGUGACUGGCGCGCACCCUCCACGUAGCUCCUUCGACGAGUCGAGUUGUUUGGGAAUGCAGCUCUAAAUGGGAGGUAAAUGUCUUCUAAAGCUAAAUACCGGCCAGAGACCGAUAGCGCACAAGUAGAGUGAUCGAAAGAUGAAAAGCACUUUGGAAAGAGAGUUAAACAGCACGUGAAAUUGUUGAAAGGGAAGCGCUUGCAACCAGACUUGUCGGCGGUGUUCCGCCGGUCUUCUGACCGGUCUACUCGCCGCCGGCAGGCCAACAUCGUCUGGGGCUGCUGGAUAAGACGUCGGGAAUGUGGCUCCUCGGAGUGUUAUAGCCCCUCGUGAUGCAGCGCGCCCCGGGCGAGGUCCGCGCUUCGGCAAGGAUGUUGGCGUAAUGGUCGCUAGCGGCCCGUCUUGAAACACGGACCAAGGAGUCGAACAUCUAUGCGAGUGUUUGGGCGUCAAACCCCAGCGCGUAAUGAAAGUGAACGGAGGUGGGAGCUUCGGCGCACCAUCGACCGAUCCUGAUGUCCUCGGAUGGAUUUGAGUAAGAGCAUAGCUGUUCGGACCCGAAAGAUGGUGAACUAUGCCUGAAUAGGGUGAAGCCAGAGGAAACUCUGGUGGAGGCUCGCAGCGGUUCUGACGUGCAAAUCGAUCGUCAAAUUUGGGUAUAGGGGCGAAAGACUAAUCGAACCAUCUAGUAGCUGGUUCCUGCCGAAGUU